GCGAAAGGCCAAAAGAGAAACUGAAAAAUGAAAUCAAAGAUCAGUGCUUUUUUCAAACCCGAUUCUUCUGCACAAAAAGAAGACGAAGACCAGUCUCCAUUUACUGUCAAUUUUGGCAAUUAUUCUUAAAAAAUUAUAACAGGGCCAGAAAUCAUCACCACAUACAAGCGCAGGACUGCAUGCUUAGAUAGAAUCAAUUAAUCAAGAUUCAGAGGAGAAAUUCACAUAUUUGGGACUGCCCAAGUGUUGGAAAGAUUCUGAACAAAAGAGAAACUAUGCCCAAUUACACUUGGAGGUUGGUCAGUCUAAUUUUUUACUGCACACAUGUAAAGAAUGCGGGGUCAAGUAUGCUCCUGGUGAUGAAGGUUAUGAGAGGAUUCACAAGACAGUUCACAAGAAUUACAUCCAUGUUAUACGUCACUUGAUUUUACGAGGUUGGCGAAAUGAAAAGAUUAUUGAUGUGCCUUUGCUUGAAAGAGGGCGCAUUAUUUUGGUGCAAGGAGAUGAUCCUCAUACUCAGCAAAACAAGAUUCAGGAUCUUGUCAAGAUGAUGGAAAUGGAACUUGGAGACGGGUGGAUACUCCAUAAGAACUGCAAGGGUAUCUGGGAUGUCUAGUUACAGAAUCAAUAAAGAAGGCAUACAGGAUUUUCCCAAACUCAGUAAUCAAAAAAGAUGAUAAACAAGGACUAGUUCGGUUGCCCUUCAAUUUGGCAAUGUCAGUUUCGAGAGGGAAAUCAUUAGAAGGGAUUCUUCUGCUGUAGAGUCAGAGAAAGGCAUUGAUGGAAUAAUUUUGUGUGAGGAUGAGGCAGUACCUGCUGUUUGCAGCAUUAGAGCCAUUUAGGUCGCUCCCUAUAACAGGAGAAAGCGCAUAGCCACUAAUCUACUUGAAGCAGCAAGGAAGAGCUUUUGCACAAGCGCAAUUCUUGAACACACACAGCUAGCCUUACCUCAGCCUACCUCACUUGGAAAGGCUUUGAUAUCCUGUUAUACAGGAGGUUCUUUCUUGGUCUACACAACGGCUGAUCUAAACUAAGGAUGUGCCACCACUAUAAAAGAAUCCUGCCAGCUAAGGGAGUGGGGAGCUACAUGUGAAGAAAUGAAAGAAGAAGACAAAGCACCUUUUGACAAAUGUGUAUGAAGGACAAUAAUACAUGUGAAGACAUUGAAGAUAAAGAGCAAUAAUAGAAAAAGAUACUAUUUGGAUAGAAAAGUUGAACCAACAUAUUAAGAUGUAGGCCCAAUGAAGAAAAUAGAGAGGUAGGAGUGUCUUUGCUGAUGUAAUCAAUGAUAUAAUAAAGUCUCAUAAACCUGUAUAAAUAGAGACAUUACCAUAGAAGAAAAUCAGAUCAUUCUAUCUUGAAUUCUCGAGUUGUAAGCAAUAGCCCAUUCUCAUUUUGAUAAACUAGUUUUUCUGGGAAUCCCUUUUUAUCAAAUAGAAGU
Olea europaea var. sylvestris is the source of this 1441-nucleotide long non-coding RNA. RefSeq lists it as uncharacterized. The record is from RefSeq and is a predicted model, not a curated record. NCBI's taxonomy places the organism in Eukaryota, Viridiplantae, Streptophyta, Magnoliopsida, Lamiales, Oleaceae. The transcript is spliced from 7 exons.